UCAGGGAAAAACAUGCUGUGAAUUCCAUUAUUAAAGCGUACUGUCUCAGCAUGGAAGAAGUGUGCGCUGGUCAGGGCACAUGGCCUGUGGCCUGUGUCAGUACCUUGGGGUGGCACCGAUGCAGGAGAGCCCGGUUGCUCCGGGUUUGGAGCUUCGGCGCCCAGGCUGCAGACUCCAGACCUGGGAGCUUCUGCCUGAGCAAAGGGAGAUGCGCGCCACUGCGGGCGUCUAGCUGCCUGCGCCCAGAGCUCGCAAGGACCUCAACCUGAGAAAGACACUGGAGCCUGGCACCUGGGUUGGACUUCUGACACAUUGGCGCAGCUGCUCCAGGUCUAGACAUGGGAUAGAAAAACCCGGUCCAGAUGCAAAGAUCAAGUCCACACCGGCUCCAAAGCCGGGAUAGGGGGAUCAAUUACAAGGGUGCUGGGGCUGAGCAAAUUCGGCCACAGCGACCGAACCUGCGGGGUCUUUUGUGUCUGGGCGUGGAGGGUCGUUAGGACUAGAAAAAGGAGAAAGAAAGUUCCUAGCAGAGAGCGUGUCCCUGCCUCUCCGGAGACCUUCUUCGCAGCUCCUGCGCCGCACAGGAAGUCUUGCCAAACCCGGUGUUGGAGCGAGCGCUGUAUCCGCACCGGAGGAAAAUGCCCCGAAGUGCCCCAGCGGUCUGGAUUCCAGAAGAGAAGUCGUGAGGAUGCGCGCUGCAGGGCCAGGGGUGCACGGGGUAUCACGCCGCAGCUCGGUCCUCGGACAAUUCUGGGACCCGCGCGAGGUUUCCCAGACGGAGAACGGAUUCUGCUGAGAGGAGAUCGAAGCUGAGACAGCACACGAGGCCCAAGUGGCGCGCAGACAGCUCGGGGCGAGCACCCGGGAGCAAGCGGUUUCUGCGGGCCGGACUGGCGGCCGCCCUGGACCCGCAGGUUCCGGACCGGGACGAGAAGUGUCAGAGAAAGAGUCAGAUCUAUGGAGGUUGUAGCCACGGCCUCGGCCACAGCUUCGGGAAUCCCAAGCCAAACCAAUGGGCCUUGGAGCCCAAAGCACCAAAGCCACCAAAAGCAACGUUCGCCAACCUCUGUCACCCGGAGGUCGGGAGCCUCGGUGGCUGCCGCCGCGCCGUUACUCCCGGGUGACUUUGCGAAACGCACAGAUGGGGACGCCUCCGGCCCGGCACGCAGGGCCGGCUGAUGGAUCGUCUCAUUUCCCGACUUGAUGGGCCGGAACCUGGGG
Molecule: long non-coding RNA, 1221 nt
Organism: Felis catus (domestic cat)
Lineage: Eukaryota; Metazoa; Chordata; Mammalia; Carnivora; Felidae
Exons: 3
Source: RefSeq, a predicted model, not a curated record